This 450-nucleotide ribosomal RNA is filed under the name uncultured bacterium. RNAcentral's name for it is "partial 16S ribosomal RNA". It matches the Rfam family "Bacterial small subunit ribosomal RNA", at positions 29 to 507 of the family's 1533-position model. The record is from RNAcentral.
AUGAACGCUGGCGGCGUGCCUAACACAUGCAAGUCGCGCGGCAGCGAGGGGUGCUUGCACCCUGUCGGCGAGCGGCGGACGGCUGAGUAACGCGUGGGAACGUGCCCCAAAGUGAGGAAUAACUGCCCGAAAGGGUAGCUAAUACCGCAUAUUAUCUUCGGAUCAAAGGAUUUAUCCGCUUUGGGAGCGGCUCGCGUCGGAUUAGGUAGUUGGUGAGGUAAUGGCUCACCAAGCCGACGAUCCGUAGCUGGUCUGAGAGGAUGACCAGCCAGACUGGAACUGAGACACGGUCCAGACUCCUACGGGAGGCAGCAGUGAGGAAUCUUCCACAAUGGGCGAAAGCCUGAUGGAGCAACGCCGCGUGCAGGACGAAGGCCUUCGGGUUGUAAACUGCUUUUAUAAGUGAGGAAUAUGACGGUAACUUAUGAAUAAGGAUCGGCUAACUACGUG